This 406-nucleotide long non-coding RNA is filed under the name Camelus dromedarius (Arabian camel). Its description in RNAcentral is "lncRNA (ENSCDRG00005015555.1)". The record is from RNAcentral. Lineage: Eukaryota; Metazoa; Chordata; Mammalia; Artiodactyla; Camelidae.
CACUUUAUUUUACAGGCAUUACACAGUUCUGAUACCUGGUGGCCGGGCAUGUGUGGUACGGCAGGCCGAGUGUGACAGUGAGAAGUGGUGCUACCCUGCUCCAGCUGGAUGGGGCCAGAUCUUCCUGUAACUCAAGAGAUGCUGAAAAUCAAGGAAAGCCUGUCCAGAUCCAAGGGGUAGCAUUUGAGAUCUCCUGUUCAGACCCAUUCCUGAGGAUGAGAGGUGGAGAGGGGAGAGCGCAGAGACCAGAGUCGACCUGCAGGGACUACUGGGAAGAGGACCCACAUCUGUGAUCUGAUCACUAGAAGGCGGCUUUGCACCUACCCAGGUACCCCUACCCUCUCAACACCCCUCACCCCCGCCGGUUCAGUGACUUUGCAUUUGGCCACUGAUCAGGUAUCCCUGA